This 970-nucleotide non-coding RNA is filed under the name Coeligena bonapartei bonapartei. RNAcentral describes it as "12S ribosomal RNA". It matches the Rfam family "Bacterial small subunit ribosomal RNA". Lineage: Eukaryota; Metazoa; Chordata; Aves; Apodiformes; Trochilidae. The record is from RNAcentral.
AAAAGACUUAGUCCUAACCUUACCGUUGAUUGUUGCCAAACACAUACAUGCAAGCAUCCACGUCCCAGUGUAAAUGCCCCCAACAACCUUACUAAGACAAAAGGAGCAGGUAUCAGGCACACAACUGCAGCCCAAGACACCUAGCCAAGCCACACCCCCACGGGUACUCAGCAGUAGUUAACAUUAAGCAAUAAGCGCAAGCUUGACUUAGUUACGGCAAACUCUAGGGCUGGUUAAUCUUGUGCCAGCCACCGCGGUCAUACAAGAAACCCAAACCAACGGCACACACGGCGUAAAGAGUGACAUGACGAUAUCACCCUAACUAGGAUUAAAACACGACUGAGCUGUCAUAAGCACAAGACGUGUAGAAGAACCUCAUGAAAAAAGAUCCUAGCUAACAUGACCAAAUUAUUGUCACGAAAGCUAAGACACAAACUGGGAUUAGAUACCCCACUAUGCUUAGCCCUAAAUCCUGACACUUCCUAAACUAAAGUGUCCGCCUGAGAACUACGAGCACAAACGCUUAAAACUCUAAGGACUUGGCGGUGCCUCAAACCCACCUAGAGGAGCCUGUUCUAUAAUCGAUAACCCACGCUACACCCGACCGCUCUUUGCCUCGUCAGCCUACAUACCGCCGUCGUCAGCUUACCUAUCUUGAAAGGACAGCAGUGAGCGUAAUAGCCCUAACCACGCUAAAAAGACAGGUCAAGGUAUAGCCCAUAGAGCGGAAGAAAUGGGCUACAUUUUCUAACCUAGAAAACUACGAAAGCGGGCAUGAAAUCCCCCCAGAAGGCGGAUUUAGCAGUAAAGUUGCAUCAUAGUGCCAUCUUAAAACCGGCCCCGGGGCACGUACAUACCGCCCGUCACCCUCCUCGCAAGCUACUUGCAUAAGUAAUUAACACCAACUUCUAGCCAAAGAUGAGGUAAGUCGUAACAAGGUAAGUGUACCGGAAGGUGUACUUAGCAUACC